RNAcentral lists this long non-coding RNA (394 nucleotides) under Mustela putorius furo (domestic ferret). RNAcentral's name for it is "lncRNA (ENSMPUG00000028832.1)". Lineage: Eukaryota; Metazoa; Chordata; Mammalia; Carnivora; Mustelidae. The record is from RNAcentral.
ACACCCGUAUGUGGCUCACUGGGACCAGGCUGCCUUGACCACCAGCGGGGUAUCAGCCUGGACUCUGCCCUCUGCAGUGACGUCAGAGCGCUACCUGUGGCAGCAGUGGGGGGACCAUCCAUGGUGCUCAUGGUCAACACAUCUUGCUGCUUUCAGACAAGUGCCCCUGGACUUGAGGAUCUCAACCCAGGAAGAACAGCUUAGCUCCACCUCCAGCUGGCUGGGUGAUCUGGGGUCAAGGCUUGCUGUCUGUGGGAGACUCCCUCCCACCACCUAUAAAGAGGAAGCAGCGAGGGAGAGACAAGCAGACUCCACACUGAGCACAGAGCCCAACAGAGGGCUUGAGAUUGUGACCUGAACCGAAAUCAGGAGUCAGAGGCUUAAAUGACUGAGC